Molecule: ribosomal RNA, 376 nt
Filed under: uncultured organism
Description: partial 16S ribosomal RNA
Rfam family: Bacterial small subunit ribosomal RNA
Source: RNAcentral
AGAGGUGGCAAGCGUUGUUCGGAAUUACUGGGCGUAAAGGGCGCGCAGGCGGUUUGCCAAGUCUCGUGUGAAAUCCCCCGGCUCAACUGGGGAACUGCGCGGGAUACUAGUGGACUUGAGUUCGGGAGAGGAAAGCGGAAUUCCGGGUGUAGCGGUGAAAUGCGCAGAUAUCCGGAGGAACACCAGUGGCGAAGGCGGCUUUCUGGACCGACACUGACGCUGAGGCGCGAAAGCUAGGGGAGCGAACGGGGAUUAGAUACCCCGGUAGUCCUAGCCCUAAACGAUGAGCACUGGGUGUAGGGGGUAUGAACCCCCCCCCCCUGUGCCGAAGCUAACGCAUUAAGUGCUCCGCCUGGGGAGUACGGUCGCAAGGCUG